RNAcentral lists this unclassified non-coding RNA (198 nucleotides) under soil metagenome. RNAcentral's name for it is "partial contains 5.8S ribosomal RNA, internal transcribed spacer 2, and large subunit ribosomal RNA". The record is from RNAcentral.
AAGACUAUAGACCUGCGGAGUACCUGCGGAAGGAUCAUUAAAAAAAGGGUCUUUUGACCCAUUUUUUUAAAAACCCACUACCAAUUCUAGCCCAUCGGGUCAGAUGGCAGUGGGUUUUUUUCAAACACCAAAAUUUUAAACUAUUCGUCUUAUGACGAAACCAAAAUUAAUAAAUAAAACUUUCAACAACGGAUCUCU